RNAcentral lists this long non-coding RNA (248 nucleotides) under Capsicum annuum. RNAcentral's name for it is "long non-coding RNA (CANN_LNC011729)". Lineage: Eukaryota; Viridiplantae; Streptophyta; Magnoliopsida; Solanales; Solanaceae. The record is from RNAcentral.
AGGGAUGAAGAACCUGUUACUUGGAAUUAUUCAAGUGCAUCUAGUGCAACGAGUAUAUAUCAGCUUGGAAUCUUCCUAAAUCAUCAAAGAGGAAUCUGCUUUGUGUUUUACGUCAAGCAGUAGUUACUUCCACAAUGACCAUAUGCAACUCAAGGUGGCCUCUUUACAGAUUAGGUGUUUUAUUUCAUGAGUGUCCAUACUAAGAAGCUAGAGAUGUUGUCCAUAGCUUUUGCGCGGAAUAGCGAUCU